This 575-nucleotide ribosomal RNA is filed under the name Begonia symsanguinea. Its description in RNAcentral is "eukaryotic LSU rRNA". It matches the Rfam family "Eukaryotic large subunit ribosomal RNA", at positions 264 to 842 of the family's 3401-position model. The record is from RNAcentral. Lineage: Eukaryota; Viridiplantae; Streptophyta; Magnoliopsida; Cucurbitales; Begoniaceae.
GUCGGGUUGUUUGGGAAUGCAGCCCAAAUCGGGCGGUAAAUUCCGUCCAAGGCUAAAUAUUGGCGAGAGACCGAUAGCAAACAAGUACCGCGAGGGAAAGAUGAAAAGGACUUUGAGAAAAGAGUCAAAGAGUACUUGAAAUUGUCGGGAGGGAAGCGGAUGGGGGCCGGCGGUGCGUCCCGGUCGGAUGUGGAACGGCGCGUAGCCGGUCUGCCAAUCGACUCGGGGCGUGGACCGACGCGGAUUGGGGCGGCGUCGCAAGCCCGAGCCUUUGUUGUGCUCGCGGAGACGUCGUCGCCUCGAUCGUGGCUGGCAGCGCGCGCCCACGGCGUGCUUCGGCAUCAGCGCGCUCCAGGCGUCGGCCUGCGGGCUCCCCAUUCGGCCCGUCUUGAAACACGGACCAAGGAGUCUGACAUGUGUGCGAGUCAACGGGCCAGAAAACCCGUGAGGCGCAAGGAAGCUGACUGGCGGGAUCCCCUUGAGGGUUGCACCGCCGACCGACCUUGAUCUUCUGAGAAGGGUUCGAGUGUGAGCAUGCCUGUCGGGACCCGAAAGAUGGUGAACUAUGCCUGAGC